Molecule: ribosomal RNA, 351 nt
Filed under: uncultured bacterium
Lineage: Bacteria
Description: partial 16S ribosomal RNA
Rfam family: Bacterial small subunit ribosomal RNA
Source: RNAcentral
CCUACGGGUGGCUGCAGUGGGGAAUCUUCCGCAAUGGGCGAAAGCCUGACGGAGCAACGCCGCGUGAUGGAAUGAAGGCCUGCGGGUUGUAAAGAUCUGUUGACAGGGACGAAGAAGCAAUGCGAAGAGGUUUGUGUAUGACGGUACCUGGUGAGAAAGCUCCGGCUAACUACGGGCCAGCAGCCGCGGUAAUACGUAGGGAGCAAGCGUUGUCCGGAAUUACUGGGCGUCAAGGGCGAGUAGGUGGGCGCUUAAGUCAGGUGGGAAAACUCCGGGCUCAACCUGGAGCCUGCACUUGAAACUGGGUGUCUUGAGGGCAGGAGAGGCAAGUGCAAUUCCUAGUGUAGCGGU